GCCUCUGUAGCUCAGUGGAUAGAGCAGUGGCUUCCUAAGCCAUGUGUCGCAGGUUCGAGUCCUGCCAGGGGUA
This 73-nucleotide transfer RNA is filed under the name Calditrichaceae bacterium. RNAcentral's name for it is "tRNA-Arg". It matches the Rfam family "tRNA". From Rfam's summary of the family: Transfer RNA (tRNA) molecules are approximately 80 nucleotides in length. Their secondary structure includes four short double-helical elements and three loops (D, anti-codon, and T loops). The record is from RNAcentral. Lineage: Bacteria; Pseudomonadati; Calditrichota; Calditrichia; Calditrichales; Calditrichaceae.